UAAGGAAUAUUGGUCAAUGGAGGCAACUCUGAACCAGCCAUGCCGCGUGCAGGAAGACGGCCCUCUGGGUUGUAAACUGCUUUUUAUCCGGGAAUAAACCUAUCUACGUGUAGAUAGCUGAAUGUACCGGAGGAAUAAGGAUCGGCUAACUCCGUGCCAGCAGCCGCGGUAAUACGGAGGAUCCAAGCGUUAUCCGGAUUUAUUGGGUUUAAAGGGUGCGUAGGCGGCCUGUUAAGUCAGGGGUGAAAGACGGUAGCUCAACUAUCGCAGUGCCCUUGAUACUGAUGGGCUUGAAUUGACUAGAGGUAGGCGGAAUGUGACAAGUAGCGGUGAAAUGCAUAGAUAUGUCACAGAACACCGAUUGCGAAGGCAGCUUACUAUGGUCUUAUUGACGCUGAGGCACGAAAGCGUGGGGAUCGAACAGGAUUAGAUACCCCAGUAGUCCCUGAGCGGGCUGGCAAGGCGCAU
Molecule: ribosomal RNA, 468 nt
Filed under: uncultured bacterium
Lineage: Bacteria
Description: bacterial SSU rRNA
Rfam family: Bacterial small subunit ribosomal RNA
Source: RNAcentral